Molecule: microRNA precursor, 193 nt
Organism: Oryza sativa Indica Group (long-grained rice)
Lineage: Eukaryota; Viridiplantae; Streptophyta; Magnoliopsida; Poales; Poaceae
Rfam family: MIR812 microRNA precursor family
Source: Rfam
AAAAAAAACAAAUGUGGGUUUCCAUUUCAACGUUGACUGUCCGUCUUAUAUGAUUUAUUUUAUAAUUAGUAUUUUUAUUGUUGUUAGAUGAUAAAACAUGAUUAAUAUUUUAUGCGUGGCUUGUCUUUUUAAUUUUUUUCAAAUAAGACGGACGGUCAAACGUUGGACACAAAAAUUAAGGUUUGUUUCUGAC